CCGAAAUUCCUUUAGUUUUUCCCCAAAUCAGAUUUCCCCGAUACCCAUAAGUUAUUUUUCCCAAAUCCCUUUAUUUCUUCCCUAAUUUCUUUUCCCCAAUUUCCCUUAACUGAUUGAAAUCCCUAACUAUUUUACCCAAAUCCCCUUCUUUUUGUCAUCUUUCAAAUCCUAACCCUUUUCUCUUCUGUAUAAAUUCUUCACCAACAACAACAAAAAAUUACUCAUCGCCGUUCUCUUCGCCGAAACCAAAAAAAUUUGGGUAAGUUUUCAUUUCAUUCUAUUUUUUUAUAUCUUUUUUUUUAAAUUCAUUCUAUUUUUUAGUUAAGUAACUUUUUGUUUGAGCCCAAUUUUUGGAUGGAAAUUCUUCGCUUAUUUCUCUCCGCCACCACUUCAAAAGUGCAGUUACUAAGCUCUAAAUAUUCUAUUUCUUUCUCAUUUUUGGUGAGACCGAAUUAAACAGGCCAAAGUGUGUAAAGGAUUUUGGUUUCGGGAAACAUUUAAGUUUGGGUUUGGAGAUACAUAGUUAUUAGCAUUAGUUGGCAGAUAACAUUGUCCUAGUGCAGGUUGCAGUUUGUUGCGAAGCUGAAAGUGGUGGGAUGCGCAAAACUUGAGGAUGUACGUUAUUAAAUGUUUUAUACGAGUUAAAUUCUAUCGAGCGUGUCAGAGUAGCUAGAAACAGUCUUGGUUAGCCUAUUGGAUCAGAAGCUCGACUUUUAGCAGGAUACUUGGGCAUUAUAGCACAAAAUGCCAAUUUGUUGUCUAUAAACUACGAGUCAUGGCAUCUUAUGUUUGAUAGUAACAAAAAUCAAGCUCUCGAUAAUAUUAAGGAGAGAUUUGCUUUAGAGGUCUUGGAUAAUUAUGUGAAGAAGGCAUUAGGAAAAAAAGGAAAGACCAUAAAAGUGAUUUAAAGAAGGAAUAUUUUAAGAAAAAUAUCAGCCUCGAAGACAAAUUACGAAAUGUCUCGCCGGCAGUUAUAUUUUGGAAUUCAAAGAAAUGAGAGGUAUUACGUACUUCCAAACUCUUAUAUUAUUUUUGUUUAUAGUAUUUACUAUAUACGUAAUAAUAAUUUCAUAAUGUCGAAUCAUGAGCAAGUUGGAACUACAAGUAGGCAAAAACAAAAAUUCACGCACGUAGCCGGGUUGAAAAGUUUUGCUUGUGUAGCUGAUGAUGAGGAACUGUCGUUUGGUCAAAAAGUUGGACGCCUUCAGCUUUUUGACAUUACAUAUAGAAAGAAAGAUGGAUCUCUUAUGACUACUGAAGCUGCAGAAAUUAUGAGAAACUAAAGGAUAAAAGGGCGGAGUAUGAAGUGAUCGUUUCAAGUGAUAGUUCUGUUAAUCUUGACAACAUUGAUAACUGAAUUAUUACUGAAGUUUUAGGUCCUGAAAGGCUCAAGUUAAAGUUCAGAGAUUAAGAGACUAGAUGGCUCAUAUGCAAACGUGCAAAGUUGAGCAAAUUUCUCAACUUAAAGUGGAGGCAUCGUCAAGAGAAGCAGAGGCUCAAAGAAAAUAUGAAGAACUCCAGCUACAACUUAAAGUAGAAGUAGCAGUGAGGGAAACAGAAAAUAUGACGAAUUCUGGCUAUAGCUUCAGAAUAUGAUAAAGAUGUUUCAACAGUCAUAGAAUCCACCAUCUUAGACGUUUGUUUUCUUAUUGUGAGAAUAUUAUAUAACUUUUAAAUAUAAUAUAUUUUGUUAUUUCA
Gossypium arboreum is the source of this 1698-nucleotide RNA transcript. RefSeq lists it as uncharacterized. The transcript is spliced from 8 exons. The record is from RefSeq and is a predicted model, not a curated record. NCBI's taxonomy places the organism in Eukaryota, Viridiplantae, Streptophyta, Magnoliopsida, Malvales, Malvaceae.